GGCUGCUCCUAGUACGAGAGGACCGGAGUGGACGCAUCACUGGUGUUCGGGUUGUCAUGCCAAUGGCACUGCCUGGUAGCUAAAUGCGGAAGAGAUAAGUGCUGAAAGCAUCUAAGCACGAAACUUGCCCCGAGAUGAGUUCUCCCUGACUCCUUGAGAGUCCUGAAGGAACGUUGAAGACGACGACGUUGAUAGGCCGGGUGUGUAAGCGCAGCGAUGCGUUGAGCUAACCGGUACUAAUGAACCGUGAGGCUUAACCUUACAACGCCGAAGCUGUU
RNAcentral lists this ribosomal RNA (278 nucleotides) under Escherichia coli. RNAcentral describes it as "partial 23S ribosomal RNA". It matches the Rfam family "Bacterial large subunit ribosomal RNA", at positions 2670 to 2925 of the family's 2925-position model. Lineage: Bacteria; Pseudomonadati; Pseudomonadota; Gammaproteobacteria; Enterobacterales; Enterobacteriaceae. The record is from RNAcentral.